Molecule: ribosomal RNA, 1458 nt
Filed under: Triticum aestivum (bread wheat)
Lineage: Eukaryota; Viridiplantae; Streptophyta; Magnoliopsida; Poales; Poaceae
Description: partial small subunit ribosomal RNA
Source: RNAcentral
AUGAACAAUGAGCUUCUGAAACCAUACUCUGCGGAGGAGGUGAAAAAGGCUUUAUUCUCUAUAGGUGACACAAAAGCACCAGGUACGCAUGGAUUGCAUGCCGUGUUCUUUAAAAAAUGUUGGCACGUUUUUGGAGAUUUACUUACAAGUGAAGUGUUGAGCGCAAUAAAUAAUAAAGUUAUUCCUGAUGGUUGGAAUGAUACUGUGAUAGUUCUAAUACCUAAAGUGGAUUCCCCAGAAAAUAUAUCACAGUACAGGUCUAUCAGUUUAUGCAAUGUCUUGUAUAAAAUCAUCUUUAAAAUGAUAGUUCGUUUAAAGGCUAUUUUGGAUGAAGUAAUAUCUCCUGUCCAUAGUGCUUUUGUACCUGGGAGAUCAAUCUCUGACAACAUUCGCAUUGCCUAUGAAAGUAUGCAUACUAUUAAAAGCAAGAAGAAGGGCAAGAUAGGAUAUUGUGCAGUAAAGCUUGAUAUGCACAAGGCAUAUGACCGCGUUGAAUGGAUCUUUUUGGAAAGAAUGUUGAGUAGGCUCGGCUUUCAUGGUGAUUUUAUUGACUUGUUGAUGGCAUGUGUCAGUUCAGUUAAAUACAGAGUUAGAUUUAAUGAUCAAGAGACAGAUAUGUUUGUGCCAAGCAGGGGCCUCCGUCAAGGGGACCCGUUAUCACCUUAUUUGUUUCUCUUAUGUGCAGAAGGGCUUUCAAGUGCUCUAGCUCAACAAGAGGAGGUUCGUGGCAUAGAGGGUGUUCGGGUGUGCAGAAAUGCACCAUCAGUAUCUCAUUUACUAUUCGCUGAUGAUUCCCUUAUACAUAUGAAGGCAUAUAUGAUUAAUGCAACCUCGUUGAGAUCGGUGCUUGAUGCUUCGUGUGCUAAUUCAGGCCAGCUUAUUAGUGAAGCCAAAUGCAGUAUUUUUUUCAGUCCAAAUGUUGAUGUGGAAAUAAAAGCCCAUAUGUGUACUGAACUCAAUAUCCACAUUGAAGCAAUUUCUGAAAAGUACCUGGGCCUACCCUCUAUGGUGGGGCUGGAUAAAAGUGAUAGUUUUGUUUAUUUGCUUGGAAGGAUCAUCGAAAGAUUGAAGGGAUGGAAGGAGAAGCUACUUUCCACAGGGGCGAAAGAAAUUCUCUUGAAGGCAGUAAUUCAGUCCAUUCCAGUGUUUGCCAUGGUUGUUUUUAAUAUCCCCAAAACAUUAUGCAAAGAGAUGAAUGAUGCUAUGUCUGCCUUUUGGUGGGGAGAUUCCAAGGAUCAAAAGAAGAUGCACUGGUUUUCUUGGUGGAGAAUAUGUGUUCCAAAAAAGUUGGGCGGCAUGGGAUUUCGAGAUCUAUUUUCGUUUAACAUGGCUAUGCUCUCAAAACAGACAUGGAGAUUGCUAAAUAAUCCUGACUCACUUUGUGCUCAAGUUUUGAGAGUGAAAUAUUAUCCUGAUGGGAAAUUACUUAAUGCAGGUCCAAGAAAAGGCUCUUCUUAG